UACAGAGGUCCCCAAGCGUUGUUCGGAUUCACUGGGCGUAAAGGGUGCGUAGGUGGUGGUCUAAGUCGGGUGUGAAAUCUCCGGGCUCAACCCGGAGGCUGCGCUCGAAACUGGAUCGCUAGAGGAUGGGAGGGGAGACUGGAAUUCUCGGUGUAGCAGUGAAAUGCGUAGAUAUCGAGAGGAACACCGGUGGCGAAGGCGAGUCUCUGGACCAUUCCUGACACUGAGGCACGAAAGCC
This 239-nucleotide ribosomal RNA is filed under the name uncultured bacterium. Its description in RNAcentral is "partial 16S ribosomal RNA". It matches the Rfam family "Bacterial small subunit ribosomal RNA", at positions 524 to 761 of the family's 1533-position model. The record is from RNAcentral.